AGCUACCACUGCAGUAGCAACAUGCUUGUUAUUUUGGAGACUCUUAGCUAAUCUGAGAAAUGAGGAUAGCAGUGUGUGCUUUGAGAAGUUGCCUCCACAGAUGGGACAGAUGGUGUAUUUCUCCUCUGUAUAUCCAUUGUCCGUUCUCUACGUACAUAUAUGCAGGUCUGGCAAGAGAGACAUGCUCCAGGUUCCAUCUGCAAAGAAGUUCCAUUUGAUGGGACACAGCAGAUGAGCCUCUU
Long non-coding RNA from Thamnophis elegans (Western terrestrial garter snake), 242 nucleotides. RefSeq lists it as uncharacterized. The record is from RefSeq and is a predicted model, not a curated record. The transcript is spliced from 3 exons. NCBI's taxonomy places the organism in Eukaryota, Metazoa, Chordata, Lepidosauria, Squamata, Natricidae.